RNAcentral lists this ribosomal RNA (426 nucleotides) under uncultured bacterium. RNAcentral describes it as "partial 16S ribosomal RNA". It matches the Rfam family "Bacterial small subunit ribosomal RNA", at positions 354 to 796 of the family's 1533-position model. The record is from RNAcentral.
GUGAGGAAUUUUCCGCAAUGGGCGAAAGCCUGACGGAGCAAUGCCGCGUGAAGGAUGAAGGCCUAUGGGUUGUAAACUUCUUUUCUCAGAAAAGAAUUAUGACGGUAUCUGAGGAAUAAGCAUCGGCUAACUCUGUGCCAGCAGCCGCGGUAAGACAGAGGAUGCAAGCGUUAUCCGGAAUGAUUGGGCGUAAAGCGUCUGUAGGUUGUUUAAAAAGUAUUCUGUCAAAGAUUAGGGCUUAACCCUAGAUAGGAAGAAUAAACUUUUAAGCUAGAGUUUGGUAGAGGCAGAGGGAAUUCCCGGUGGAGCGGUGAAAUGCGUAGAUAUCGGGAGGAACACCAAAGGCGAAGGCACUCUGCUGGGCCAAUACUAACACUGAGAGACGAAAGCGAGGGGAGCAAAUGGGAUUAGAUACCCUGGUAGUCC